AUCCCCCAAAUUUCACUGAAAUUCCCCCAAAUUUUCACCUCAAACUUCCCCAAAUUUCCAUCGCAAAUCCCUCCAAAUUUCACUGAAACUCCCCCAAAUUUCACCGAAAUUUUCCCAAGUUUCCCUGAAUUUCUCCCCCAAACCCCCAAAUUUCCAUCCGAACCCCCAAAUCUCCCCAUUUUUCCCCCAUUCCCAGCCUGCACCCCGCGCUGCCGCUCCUGGCCACGGCCUCGGGCCAGCGCCUGUUCCCGGCGCCGUGGGACAGCGACGGGGACGGGGACAGCGAGGGGACACCGGCGCCGGGCGGGGACAUCCGGCUGCAGCUCUGGUGGUGGGGACACGAGGACACCGACGGGGACACCCCUGGGGACAGCGGGACUGGCAAUUGUCACACCCCUGGGGACACCGAUUGUCACCUCUCUGGGGACACUGGGACUGGCGAUUGUCGCCUCCCCACUGGGACUGGUGAUUGUCACCUCCCUGGUGUGGAGUGACACUGUCACCUCCCUGGGGACAAUAGGACUGGUCAUUGUCACCUCCCCGAGGAUGUCAAAUGUCACCUCCUUGGGGACACCUGGACCAGCCAUUGUCACCUCUCUGGAGACACUGGGACCUGAGAUUGUCCCCUCCCUGGGGACACUGAGUGUCACAUCCCUGGGGACAUUGGGACUGGAGACUGUCACCUCCCCGGGACACUGUGACCACUGACUGUCACCUCCUUGGGGACUCUUGGACUGGACAUUGUCACCCACCCCAGGGACAGUGACUGUCACCCUUGGGGACCCCUGGAGGGUCACAGCCACCCUGGAGACCCCAAGUGUCCCCCCCAGACCUCGGUUGUACUAAAGCCGUUGUGACUGUCACCCUCUGUCACCCCUGUGGCUGUCACGGGUGGGGGCGUGGCCAGACCUGCCCCGCCCCUGCCUCCCAAACUCCCCCAGGUGCCCCAGAAACUUCCCCACCCCCUCGGUGGUCCCCACCCUCCAAUUCUGGCGUUGCCCCUUUAAGAGACCCCCCACAAAGGGGCAGGGCCCGUCCGGAAGCAGCUUCGCUGUCACCAUGGCAACGGUGGGGGUUGUGGUGUUGCCAUGGAAAUCAGUCUGGUGCUGCUGGCCACGCCCCCGUCCCGAGGCCACGCCCACAGCAUGGUCAGAUAUGUGGGUGCGGCCAUGUUAACUUUUGACCAUGCCCCUUCCAAAAGACCACGCCCCAUUUUAAGUGCUUGCCCAUGCUAAUUGCACUAAGCCACGCCCCCAAGUACACACCCCCAUCCCCAAAUCAACGCCUUUUAAAUAUUCAAAUAUUCAAACCAUGCCCACCUUUUCAGGCCCACAUGUCUACCUAAUAACGACCACACCCAUCCGUGACCACGCCCCUUUACCAACCCCACCCAUCGACUCCCCUUCACUACGCUGCCACGCCCUCUCACGAGGCCCCUCCCCUUCUCUAAACCACGCCUUUCACUCACAUACCACGCCCCUUUGAGGCCCCGCCCCUCCGAAGCCCCGCCCCUCCUCCGGCGCGGUCGCAGCCGGGGCGGCCCCGCGGAGUCCCGGGUUCGAGUCCGGGUCUGGCUCCGGGGGGUCCCGGGUUCGAGUCCGGGGGCGGCUCCCGGGGGUCCCGCGGGGGUCGCGGCCCCCGGGGGCGGGGGGCGAUGGCGGGGCGCGCGGCCGCGCUGCUCGUGGCCGUGCUGGGCGCGGGGGCCGCG
Molecule: long non-coding RNA, 1708 nt
Filed under: Junco hyemalis (dark-eyed junco)
Lineage: Eukaryota; Metazoa; Chordata; Aves; Passeriformes; Passerellidae
Description: lncRNA (ENSJHYG00000000466.1)
Source: RNAcentral